AUUGAACGCUGGCGGAAUGCUUUACACAUGCAAGUCGAACGGCAGCACGGACUUCGGUCUGGUGGCGAGUGGCGAACGGGUGAGUAAUGUAUCGGAACGUGCCCAGUCGUGGGGGAUAACGUAGUGAAAAUUACGCUAAUCCCGCAUACGAUCGAUGGAUGAAAGCGGGGGAUCGCAAGACCUCGCGCGAUUGGAGCGGCCGAUAUCAGAUUAGGUAGUUGGUGGGGUAAAGGCCCACCAAGCCAACGAUCUGUAGCUGGUCUGAGAGGACGACCAGCCACACUGGAACUGAGGAACGGUCCAGACCCCUACGGGAGGGAGCAGUGGGGAAUUUUGGACAAUGGGAGAAAGCCUGAUCCAGCCAUUCCGCGUGCAGGAUGAAGGCCCUCGGGUUGUAAACUGCUUUUGUACAGGACGAAAAGGUUUCUACUAAUACUAGGAGCUCAUGACGGUACUGUAAGAAUAAGCACCGGCUAACUACGUGCCAGCAGCCGCCGUAA
RNAcentral lists this ribosomal RNA (500 nucleotides) under uncultured bacterium. Its description in RNAcentral is "partial 16S ribosomal RNA". It matches the Rfam family "Bacterial small subunit ribosomal RNA", at positions 30 to 523 of the family's 1533-position model. The record is from RNAcentral.